RNAcentral lists this transfer RNA (67 nucleotides) under Palomena prasina (green shield bug). Its description in RNAcentral is "tRNA-Glu". It matches the Rfam family "tRNA". From Rfam's summary of the family: Transfer RNA (tRNA) molecules are approximately 80 nucleotides in length. Their secondary structure includes four short double-helical elements and three loops (D, anti-codon, and T loops). Lineage: Eukaryota; Metazoa; Arthropoda; Insecta; Hemiptera; Pentatomidae. The record is from RNAcentral.
AUUUAUAUAGUUUAAAUUAAAACCCCUCAUUUUCAAUGAGAAGACAAGAAAUUAUUCUUUAUAAAUA